RNAcentral lists this long non-coding RNA (22364 nucleotides) under Olea europaea (common olive). Its description in RNAcentral is "long non-coding RNA (OEUR_LNC007183)". The record is from RNAcentral. Lineage: Eukaryota; Viridiplantae; Streptophyta; Magnoliopsida; Lamiales; Oleaceae.
UAUAAAUAAGGUACUGUGUAUGCAUUUCACUUAUUGGAUUGUAGUAGUUUCUCUCCAAUCCCUCCUUCCAUGGAGGUUUCAUUUCCUCCUUCUAUGGAGUUGAUUUUCCUCCUUUAAUGGAGUUUUAUUUCCUCCCUUUGUGGAGUGUUUCUCCUCCUAUCAUGGAGUGUUAAUUUCUCCUUUCAUGGGGCUUGUAAUUCAAGUUUUUCUCAUUCAAUAAAUCUAAUACAUGUCAUUCUGGACCUCUUUAUCCUCAAACCUAUACAGCAUCAAGAAUUAUAUAAUCCUGAUGAUCAUAAACGAUAGCACGACUCCAAAAAAUGAAAGAAGUUAGGCCUUACUUUCGACCGAUUAGCCUCUUAACAUCGAAGAUAGUCCUCUCUGGAUUAGCUGCUGCCUGAUUCUUUGCAGCCUCGCCGAUCAAUCUCUCACUGUCGGUAAACGCAACCCACGAAGGGGUUAUCCGGUUUCCUUGAUCGUUCGCUAUGAUUUCAAUUUUUCCAUCUUUGAACACACCAACACAAGAAUACGUGGUUCCAAGGUCUAUCCCAAUUACCGAUCCCAGUUCGCCAGGCUUAUCUUUCGUGAGGGAAAAUGAAAAUAAACUUCCUGUUCUCAAACAAAUUAAUAACAGUUACGUUACAGGGAAAGUAAAAUCAAGAAGAUUGAUCUGAAACUUAGGGUUAGCAUUGGACUUACCGAGAAAGAAGAUGCCGAAAAAAAUUAAUGCGUAUCUUUUCCAUGAACUCGCCAUUGUUGGAAAACAAAAAUUUCUUUGAAGAAACAGGAUUACUAGAAUGCAAUAGUGUUUUAUGUGUAACAAACCAUCUAGCAGCUACGUUAUGUAUAGAGGUGAAUACUCAUGUGUCUUUGUUCUAACAUAACUAGGAGUUUGAGUAUUAGAAUUUGAAUAUAAUAACGUUAUUAAUCGUGUUCUUGUUCUAACAUAAUUAGGAGUUCUUAAUUUGUUAGGGGUAGGGUUGUCAAUGGGUCGAGCGGAGUCGGCUUGGCUCAUGAAAGCACGAGCUCGGCUCGGGCUCGCCACAAGUCAAGCUCGGUUCGUCCAAAAAUGGGUGAGCUCGACUCGGCCCACGAGCUCGUGGGCCGAGCCGAGCUCGCCCACAAGCAACGAGCCGAGCACGAACUCAACUCGUGGCGAGCAGACGUCGUUUUUCCUUUUUUUUUUUUUUGAAACAAAUAAGUAAAUUGGAAAAUAAAAAAGUAAUUUUAAUUUUUAAAUCGUGAAUUAUAUAUAAAAAACUAGGUAAAAAAUUUAAACCCUCCUCCUUUAUCCGGGCUUGGGACCGGCUAUUUAGAUUUAGAGUAGACGGAGUUAAAAAUUGUGUUGUUUGUUUAUUUAUUCAUAUACAAUUUUUUAAAGAAAAUUUAAAACAGUAUGAAAAAUUAUUGUUUCAAGCCACGCUGCGUGUCCCCUUGCAUAUAAUUUUCGAAGUAAAUCCCUUCUAAAAAUUGAAAGGGUAAUCGAAUGCCCUUUCAAUUAUCAAAAGUCUUCACUUCGAAAAUUAUAUAGAAGUCUUUCAUCUCGAAAAUUAUAUAUAAUCUUGUGAAAAACUUCUGACAAUUGAAAGGGCAAUCAUUCGAUUACCCUUUCAAUUUUCAGAAGGAAUUUACUUCGAAAAUUAUAUGCAAAGGUACAAACAGCAUUGUUCGAGAAAAGAAUUUAAAAUGUAGAUAUAUAGUAGUAAUAGUACCAAGUACUAACAAAAAUUUAACUAAAUUGGUGGAAAUGAUUUUUUUUUCCUUUUUUUUUAACUAAAAGAGAUAGAAAAGAAUAAAAAUGAAAUCUUUAUUUUUUUUAUUUUUCUUUUUAAAAUAGAUAAAAUAUAAACCCUCCUCCUUUAUACAGGUUUGGGACCGACUACUUAAAUUUUCAGUAGGCGGAAUUAAAAAUUGUACACGAACAAUUUUUUGUAGCGUGUACAAUUUUUCAAAGAAAAUUAAAAGUAACGAUAAGAAAAGAAAAGUUUCAUCAAUAUAAUUAAAUCAAAUAUCACUUACUUGAUGACAUGCAAUUUCGGCAUAUUUAUCUUGUAGUCGAAAAUGAUCGUCUUGUCUAUCCUUAACGCACAUUAACGCUUCUAAAAUAUCUUCUUUCAGUCGACUCCUGACCUCGCUCAAAACUCUUUUACUUGUACUAAAAGCAGACUCCGAACCAACAGUGCUAAUUGGAGGUGUCACAGAUUUUUUACAGUCGCAGAUAUAACUGGCCAAUGUCGUUCAUACCUUCGCCAGAAUUCAAUUACUUCGUUUGAAUUUUUUUUAACUGUUUUAUCUAUUGGCAUAUUCUAGUUGAAAUAAUCAAUUAAUUCGGUAAACAAUACAUUAUGGCUUGAGCCCAUAAAUGUUUGAUGAGAAUGAGAUACAGAUGGUGACGACAUGGCAGUGGCGGUAGUAGUAGAUGAACACAUUGCAGAUGAAUCAAAUCUAUUCGAAUUAAUACCUUGAAAUAAAUUAAAUAUUUCGCAUCUUCUUCUUCAAUUUUAGCGGAAGGAGUAGGUGCAGAUGGUACCCAACUAAUAUUGGUACCCAUUCGUUCGCAUAUAAUUCAUACCUUUCACAUAAUAUUUGCUCUAAAUUUCUAUAUGUGAUAGGUAUAUCAAAUGUUAAGGCGUUUGAAAUUUGAUCAAUUAUAUAUUUAGUUCUCGAUAAAUUAUAUCGGGGGUCCAUCACGCAUGUUAAAGGAAAUAACAUAGGCAAAUCUUCCCAAUAUUUUCUAAAUUUUAAUUCCAUGGCAAUUAUAAUUUCACUAAAAUCAAGGUCAUUUUUGUAUUUAUGAAAUAUUCUUGCAAUUAUAUAAAGACGUUCAAGCACCAUACAGUUGAAGGGAUAGUAAACGCUCGAUAAAAUCUUAGUAGUUUCAUAAAAAGAUGUCAAAAAUCUUUUAACUUUCAAAGCUAAAUACAAAUCACGUUUAGUCAACAUACCCUCAUCAUCACUUCUAACAUUUCUAUUAUUAUAAAAGUCAGUUAUUAAAUGUUCAAAACGUUUACAUAACUUUAAUAAUAAGUAAGUAGAGUUCCACCUAUGACCUACGUCGUUAACAAAUGUUUUAGCAUUUUGCACUCCUAUUUCGGCACAAUAAUUCUCAAAUGUUUGUUUUCUACUUGGGGGGAUUGUGAUAAAUAUUAGUGCGUUCCUAAUAUUUUGAAAUUCAUCUUUUAUAUGUUUUAAACCAUUUUGGAUAAUUAAAUUCAAAAUAUGACAUACACAACGAAUAUGAAAUAAAUACCCACCAAAAUCAGGUUGUAGUACCCUAUGCAAUUUUUCGGCAACUACGUUAUUAACACUAGCAUUAUCGAAAGUAAAUGAACAAAUUUUACCUUCGCAAUGAUAUUCUCUAACAAUACUAAUAAUAACAUUAAAUAUAUUAUUAGCGUUGUGAGGAGACUCAAUAAUUCUAAAAGCAAUAAAUUUUUUAUGCAUGCUCCAAAGUGGGUCUAUAUAAUGUGCAGUUGCAGCUAUAUAUGCUCUUUUAUUAAUCACUUCCCAUAUAUCCAAAGUUAAAGAUAUGACACCCCAUAUUUUUGCAAAUCCAUAAUUAAUUGUUAUUUUGUUGAAGUAAAAUGUUGUAUUGUAUCGGAACGAAGAGUGUUUCGACUUACCCCCAACGUACCUUGACUGCAGAUAUUCUUUCACGUAUGAGACAUAGUGUUGGUUCUCGAUUAAUGCCAAAGGCAACUUAGCACCAGCAACAAGUUUCACCAUUCUGGUUCGAGCUUUCUCCUCCGAAUAUACCCAUGUGGAUAGGGGUGCAGCAGAACCACCGGCGUCUGGAUUACCAAAUUGCAAUUGUGUUUAACAGCCUGAAAUAAGUCCGUGUUUGGCCGCACAUACUUUGUAAUGACAGUUGAGAUGGGUGGUACCAAUUCCUCUUUGUCAUGUCAAUCUUUGUUGGCAGUAUUUACACACUGUUUUAGAUUCUUGGACUCCAUUGACGAUUUUUCUCGUUGAAAUCAACUUAAAGUGAUCCCAACAUUUUGCUUGUUUUUUCCCCUUUCGCUUUCCCCUCGCAUCAGGAAUGUUUAAUUCAACCUCUUCUUCCUGAUCGUGUUCCGCUUCGAAAACGUCAACAUCAUCCAAAUUAAUUGGAUAAUUUGGAUUGCCGCUUACAUUAUGAUGAAGAUCCAAAUCUGGAUUAUCUUCAGGUAGGGGUACGUCAUUUAGACCUUCAAAUUGAUUCUUAAAUUGACUUUGCGGUGUCAUAGGCGAUUCGUUUCCCUCCACACCGAACAAGUUUUCGACAAAUGUGCGUGGAUCCAUUUGUUUAAUUGUAAUAAGUAAUAACUAGUAAAAGAAUAAUUGUAUAAAUGUAGUGAAAAAUGAAAAUUAGAUGAACUUUCAAUAAAUAUAGUGAGAACUGGGAAAUAAGAAUUUGAUAUUGUAUAAAUUAUAUAUAAAAAUUGCACAACUAUCAACACAACACAAGAGAGUUGAGAGAAAGAUAAUUGAGACUUGAGAGUGAAUUGUAGAAAAUUUUGUGGCUAAAUGCCACUAUUUAUAGAAGAAGAAAAAAAAUUUAAUGACAAAUACGGUCAUUUAAAAAAUUCAGUGACCGACAAUGGUAAAAAAAAAAAAUUAAUUCAGGGACCAAAACGGUCACUGACAAAAGACAAUGGCCGUUAUAUAAAGUCAUCAAAAAGUUACCGUUUUAGUCACUUUCAAAAACGAGCCCACAAGCUCCGCCUCGUCGCGAUCGGCUCGUUUUUUGUGUGAGCCGAGCGGGCUCGGCUCGCCCACCGAAUAGGCUCGCUGGCUCGAGCUCGUGCUCGUGUUUUUACGAGUCCAAGCCACCCACGAGCUUCAUUUUCUCUGCUCGCCCACUCGGCCCAUUUGCCACCCCUAGGGUAUAAUGUUCUUUUCCAGGAUAAGAGUUCUAAGUUUGUUGGGCCGUGUGAGGAUGUGUAAACCCAUUCUGCUUUACAAUAUGAAUUAAAAUCGGAAAUAUUAAUAAAUUUAGUAAAAUAUAUAAUUGAAAAGUUACAGGUCAUAUUAAAUAUAAAAUUAAAAUUAAUUGUUGAUUUUGACUUGAAAUUUUUGUAAACUUUUAAUCUACAAGGGGCAUAGUUUGCCUUAUCCCAUUUUUUAAAAUUCUUUUUUUUCUUAAAUUCGUUUUCAACAACACAUAUAAUCAAAUCCAUAACAUUUAUAAAUUUUUCAACCACGUAUUUAAAUAAUUUUUUUUAAAAUUUACUAAAAAAAUUAUUUUUAUCCAAACGAAACAGGCUUAAUAAUAAUGAAUGCCACGCUUCAUGCCACGCUUCACAAAAUUGAUCUCAAGGAAUGGUCAACCCAAAUGCUUGGCAAUUUCCUCCUUGUAUUCUAGAGCUCUCCAGGAAGUCUCCUUGUUCACGUAGAGAUUUCGUAGUUUAGAAAUGGCAAAUAAAUUCGCCCUGCCCCUUCCCAAACCCGCCCGUGAAGAAGGAAAAAAAUUGUUAGUUUAAGCACCAUUCGACUAUUUACUUUGAAUUUUAAAAUUUUGAAUUUGUAUUUUAUUAUCUAAUAAUAACAUAAUUCGAAAUUUUGAAUAUGUAAAAAAUAAUAAUAAAUAAAUCAAUAAAUACAAACGGGACAAACCACUGCCCCGCCCCAUCUAAGAGGGGGCGAGAUGGGACACCCGACCCACUGCCAUCCAAGCUCCACAAACAAUACCACUAAUAUUAUGACAAUCUCUAAACAAACAAAUAUAAAAAUAAAUCCCACUAACUAACAUUUACAUUAAUUAAUCAGCUUAUUAAAUUAAUUAACCUUUUCCCCCAUGAAUUGUCCUUUUUGCUUUAAAUAAUAAUAGCCGUCCAUUAUAUAUAUUUUGUGAACCCGUCAAAUUAAGUAUUUGUUUAUUUUUUAUUUUUAACGCUUUGUUUUUCAAUUAAACUUUAUAGGAUUUCUUUUCCUCUGAGUAUCAUUAGUGACUCUUGCUGCACUUUUUGAUUGCCUUGCCUCGUAUUUUCUCUUAUAUUUGGUAACAUAAUCAACCAUAAAGGUUGUCAUGCCUCUGCCUAUGUGACUGUUAGUUAAGCAAAAUAUCAAGCGAGCACCUCACUCCGUCGACACUACCACGUCGUCUAGGGUGAUUGUCACGUAUUGCCUCUCCAUUUUUUUCUAGGAGAUAAAGUCAAAUCCCAUCAUCUCGCCCGCUCUCUCCCAAGACGUUGUAGGCAUUACCCAAUGUCUUGCCUUCAUACCUCCCCCGUCCCCCUAGAGGUGUAGACUUGUCAUUUGCCCUUUAUGAGGCAACAAAAAUAAACUUAGUCUUUAGCCACAUCAAAUGGGCCUCUUCGAUCGAAGUGGUUGAGGCAUGACCACGAUGCUCUACGUAAAUUACAAUUCAUGAAACCUUGAAUGACAUGUAAUUUGAUUAAUUUGGCAUUUUUCUAAAGGUGACUUAAGUAAAAUACUUGCAAAUUUUUCUAGGACAGUGUAGAAUCUGGAUGUGAGCCAAAUUCUUUGUUAAAUAUAAUUGAGAGUUCUAAUUAAAGCACACGUUAAGAGAAAUUCUAUUUGGAAUGCUUUUGAAAUCCUAUUCGAAGUUUCUUGGACAAAUUUUGGAUGAAGGUCUAUUUUAAAUCCUAUUGAGAUUUAGAAUUUGUAUUGGACUUAAAGAAAUAAAGAUAAGAAAACUUUUGAACAAGUCUAUUUUAUCUAGAACUCUAUUCUAAGGUUUGGAUUGUUCCCUAUAUAUAUUGGGUUCUUUCCUACAAUUUAGGUUGGGUUGUUUAACCUCAUUAUAAGUUAGAAAAAUUGUAAACACAUAAUCUUUGUUCUCUUUCUCCAUAUUAAGAUAAAAUAUUCAUCUUCUGCAAAUUAUUUUUCUUCUUGUAUUCUUGUGAUAUUUAUUUUAUAUAAUUGUCUUAAUCUUUUAUAUUUUCAUAACAAAUUGGUAUCGAAACUAUUCCACUUUCAAUAAAGUGGUUUCAAAUUUGGUCCGAUUCAUAACAGACGGGGAGUGGGAGAUCACAUGCCUAUAAUGGCUAUUGUGUGACAUUUUUUAGCUUGACAUGUAAGCAGUGGGAUGAAGUUACAUGUCAAGCAUCCAAUGAGCCUCAUUUACAUCUCGUUUGCCUAUAAAUACUUAAAAUUGGUGUCAUUUGAAAGUAAAAACAAUUUAGUAAUAUCAAUCUCAAAUAUAAACUCCUUGUAUUCUCUUUUUUCUCGUGUUUUUCCCACACCCACAUAAUUGCCUAUUUGUUUAACUUGAGCGUCUAAUUGUACGUGAUCAUUGUCUCUACCCUUUUGUAGUUGGAAGUCCGGUUGUGAUUUUUAUGUGUGUCCAAGUGUUCAAGUAACAUACACGUGUAAGAAAAAAGAGUUGGAAUAUGUUUACAACUAAGAGGUAACAAAAGUUUUUUGCAGUAAAUGAUAUUUCUACAGUCUCUAAGAUUGUGUAAGAAAAACAAAAUUAUUUACAGGAUGUAAGGAGAUGAUAUUGAUCACCAAAGAUAACCCAAGCUCAGUUUAUACCCACUUCCUAUACCACAAAGCCGAAAACUACGAACCCAAGACAAUACCAAGUUUACUUCCGGUUGCCAAUGAGAUAUAUCACUUAUGAGACCACAAAAGAGUAAGAAAUCUCAUAAACUAUCACCACUAAGAUGAUAGACAAAAAGAGACAGAGAAGAUGGAAGAAGAAACCAUGAGAAUUGGCUAAGAAUAGGAGGCGGCGACGGGUCCCUCAAAAUAAGAGAAAGAGAGUGACCCAAAUAAGGUAAGUAUAGGUAUGUUAAACAAUGGGUCAAAUUAGAGGCCCAAGAGACAAUUAAAUAGGCUCACAAUAUAUUCUCCCAAUUAAUGGCCAUCCAAGGAAGUGUAUUGGGCCAUGAGCAACACUAAAUUAUUUAGGUUACUUCGAGUGGCCCAGGUCGUAUUGUUUCGAAUGUGGUGUUGGAUUUUCGUUCAGUCAUUUGGCUAGGCCGACUGAAAACUUAAACCGAGCCCGGGGGAGGUCGUUUGACAACAAAUUGCUUAACAACCUCCACCUUAGUGUCAAAAGACCUGCAAAAAGAAACGUCUUCCAUUAGUGACACCUCUAAUAGAAAAACGAUAAAAUUGAAAAUCAUUUACCUGUACAAAUAUUUAGAAGAUCCUUGCAACUUCUAAACUUUACCAAUGAUAGCACUUUUAUACCCAUAUAUGAAGGGUUGUAUUGUGUGUGAAUCUUUUCAAGUCUUACCACCUCUUGAGAUACUAUAUCUCUAAUAAAGUGUAAUAUAACAUCCAUGUGUUUAGUGCGUUUGUGAAAAACAGGGUUCUUACAUAAAUGUAUGGAUGACUGACUAUCAGAAUACACAACCACAUACUCAUUCAAGACAUAUAAUUCAUGAAGUAAACAUCUAAGACAUAAGGCCUCUUUAACUGCUUUAGUAGUAACAAUAUACUCAGAUUCAGUGGUGGAUAGUGCAACAAUGUGUUGUAACUGUGAUUUCCAACUAACAGAUGAAUUUGAUAGGGUAAACACGUAAGAGAAAGUCAAUUUCCUACCAUCCCUAUAUCCCGCAUAAUCAGCAUCUACAAAACCCUUCAAUUUCACGCCUUCCUUAUUAGCACUAAACUUCAGACCUAUGUGACCCGCACCCUUCAAGUACCUGAAUAACCACGUUAAUGCUUCCCAAUGUUCAGGGCCUGGAUUAGCUAUGUACCUACUAAGAGUACUGACAGCAAAACCUAAAUUCGAUCUAGUGCAAACCAUCAAAUACAUUAUGGAACCAAUCACAUUAGAAUAUGAUACUCUACUCAUGUAUUCUAUUUCACGUUCGUUGCAAGGAGAUUGUUCUUUAGAUAAAACAAAAUGGCUAGGUUUGCAAUCACUCAUAUUAAAUUUUUUCAACACUUUGCAUAUGUACAGAGACUGAUGCAAGAACAAGACGGAAUUUGACCUAUCUCUUUCUAUUUCCAUGCCUAGAAUUCUCUUAGCCUUAUCUAGGUCUUUCAUGUCAAAUUCACUAGCUAGUUUUGCUUUUAUAUUAUUUAUCCACUUAGAAGAAAAUCCUAUCAAAAGUAUGUCGUCCAAAUAAGGCAACAGAAAUAGAUAAUUAUUAUCAGUCUCGUUAUGUUGAAAAUAUAGACAGUGAUUAAAUUUACUUCUUUGGAACCCUAUAGUGAGUACAAAGGAAUCAAAUCUCUUGUACCACUAUCUAGGUGAUUGUUUUAAAUCAUACAGGGAUUUUUUUUCAGAAAACACACAUAAUCAGGUUUUGACUUAUCCUUAAAACCUUUUGGUUGAUUCAUGAAGAUUUGUUCAUCAAGCUCACCAUGUAGAAAAACAGUUUUUACAUCAAGUUGUUCAAGUUCUCAGUCAAAAUACGCAAUCAAAGCAAGCAUGACCAUAAUAGUGGUGUACUUAAUAAUUGGUGGAAAAAAUCUCAUUAUAAUCAACGUCCUCCUUCUGUGUAUAACCCUUAGUCACUAACCUAACUUUAAACUUUAAGCGUUCCGAGCCACUAGUACCUUCCUUAACCUUAAAAACCCAUUUGCAAUCGACGAUCAAUUUGUUCUUAGGCCUAGGUACUAGCUCCCAAGUUUGAUUCUUUUCUAGAAAACUCAUAUCUUCUUUCAUCGCUUUAAGCCACUCCUUAGAUUGAUCAUUACCUAUUCCAUCUUCAAAGAUUUUUUGCUCUUUAUCAGCUAGUUCUUCGGAAAUAGCGUGGACAAAAGCUAAUUCAAAUUCAAAACUGAACCUUCUAGGUUCUCUCGUCUGUCUCCUCUCUCUAUCCCUAACUAGAUUAUAAUUAGUUAAGGGAUUUUCUUUUUCAGGGUGUUCUUCUAUCACUACUUCGUUACUGUUCUCCACUUUAGGUCCCUAAACCUGAAUCUCCACCUCAAUUGGAGUAGUAGGGACAGGUGUACUAAAUUUUCCUAACUCCACCUUAAACCGAUGUCUCUCCUUACCUGGUUCAGCUUUACUCACAGGUUCGAUUUUCCCUUUAAUACACGGCAUCUCAUUCUCGUUAAAUGUGACAUCCCUACUCACGAUGAUCUUAACCCCCUUUUGACUUCUAUCCCAUAAUAUGUAUCCCUUAGCACCCUCGGGAUACCCUAGAAAGACGCACUUUCUAGCUCUAAGUUCCAACUUUCCCUCGCUUUGAUGAGAAAAGGCAGCACAGCCAAAAGUUCUAAACAUAAAAUAAUCACUCAGUUUACCUGACCAUCUCUCAUAUGGAGUGUCACAAUUCAUUGCUGCAGAUAGAGUCAAAUUAAUCAAAUAACAAGUAGUCAUAACAGCCUCACCCCAAAGGGGACACUAGAACUUAACAUCAUGCAAUGCACUUUAUCAAGUAUGGUUCUAUUCAUCCUUGCGGCUACCCCGUUUUGCUGGGGAGUGUAAGAAAUAGUCUUAUGUCUAGUUAUGUCAUUUUCUUUACACAUACUCUCAAAUUCCGUGUUGCAAAACUCUAGGUCGUUAUCUGUCCUUAAAAAAUUGAUUUUCUUACCAGUUUGGUUUUUCACUUGUCUCUUCCAGUUAUUGAAAUUAUAAAAAGUCUCAGAUUUAACUUUCAAUAGAUAGGCCCACAUUUUUCUAAUAUAGUCAUCGAUAAUAGACAGGAGAUACAUAUUCCCACCCGAUGUGGGAUUACUAGCAGGACUCCACAGAUCAGAAUGCACAUAUUCAAGCAUGCCUUUAGCUUUAUGAACACUCGUGGAGAAUAAAGUUUUAUGAUGCUUACCAAGUACACAAUGAUCACAAAAUGACAAAUCUGACACACAGUCAUUACCAAAUGCACCUUUUUCAUUAAGUAGCUUAAAUCCCUUAAUGCUUACAUGUGCAAGUCUAUUAUGUCAUGUGUGUGUGUAAUCAAUCUUGACAGAAGAGAUAGAAGAGUUCAAACCUCUAAUCACUUCCCCAGUAGUGAUAUAGAUGUCGUUUUUCUCAGUUCCCUUAAUGAAAACUAAAGCACCCUUAAUCAUUUUUAGCAUACCAUUUCCAAUUUUACUAGUGAAGUUAUCAUUUUCAAGUCUCCCUACUGAAAUCAAAUUCCUAGACAAUUCAAGAAUAUAUCUAAUCUUUUAACGUGUACACAAAACCCGUGUGAAAUUUUACGUUUAUGUCACCAAUUCCAGCAAUAGUAUAGGCAUAGUUAUCACAUAGCACAACAUGCCCAAUAUUAGAUUCAUGUAAGUUAUAAAAUCAAUUCUUUUCAGACAUCAGAUAGAACGAUCACCAGAAUCAAGUAUCCACUCAUGCAUGCGGGAAUUAGCAGUUAGAUUUAAUUCAACAGUGUAUGCAACUGGACUUAUAAGCAUAUAGACCUCAUCGUUAUCUAUCUCAGAUAUAGAGGACAACACAUUUACCUCAUCUCUCUCCUAAAUCUUUAACUUGCCCUUUUCUUUAUGGAAGUCUUUUAUAAAAUGCUCUGUGUUUUCACAGCCAUAGCAUUUUCUGGCCUUCGUCCUAGAUUUUGAUCUAGAUUUACCCUUGCUGUUCUUUUCCAUCCAUUGCCACUUGACUCGCCACCACUUUGAUAUCCAUCAUGACUAUUUUGCCUAAAUUGAGUUCUAACCGGCAUCAUAUGUAACUCACCACUCCUCUUAUCAUGUUUUUCAGCCCUAAUUUUCAUCUCUUUACUCCUAAGAGAGUCUAUGACAAUUUUAGGUGUCAAUGUAUCUCUACCAUACUUAAUGGAGUUCUUAACUUCCUUAUAGGAAUCAGGGAUCACAUUGAGAAAAAUUAUAGCCUUAUAAGUUUCGGACACAGCCUCAUCACAAUUAACUAUAUCUUGCACCAACUUGUUAAACACGUCUAAAUUGUCAUCGAGAUCCUUUGAAGGAUCUAUUUUAAAACUGAAAAAACCUUCUAACAAGCAGAUUUUAUUCGAUGUAGAUUUAGACAAAUACAAGUCUUCUAAUUUUUUUCCAAAGUUCUUUGGUGGUUUUCAGUUUACACACCUUUCUUAAAAUGGCGUCAGACAAGUGUAAAAUUAUUGAAGUGUAAGCAAACUCAUCGGCUUCUUUUCUUUGUUCUUUUGAAAAAUCAAUUGAAAAAUUGUCUUCAAUGGCCUUUGAAACAUUUUGUUGGACUAAAAUACCCUUCAUUUUUUGUUGCCAAAUAGAAAAGUCACCCUUUCCAUUAAAAAUCCCCAAAUCAAAAUUGUGAGUUGUCAUCUUCACACAACAGUUAAAGGAUGCACAAAACACAAUCAAACCAUACAAACUAGUCCUAGGGUCAUAGACAAUAUACUCCGUUCUAGAUUCUUAGGAUUUCGUAAGACUCGCAGUCUUAGAUCAAGGGAAUGUUCAAAAUGGGUAAAGUCACUAUAAUUCUAAUGGAAUUAAUAAGCAGCGAAAAUAACAAUGCAACAGAAAAUUACAUCUAACAGAUAAUCAGUUUCACGGCAAUUAUAUCACUAAGAAUAAAAUAUUGAUUUAACUAAAAGUCAUAUACUCAAUCAAACAAUUAAGAGCACAUAACCCUAAUUUCUAGCAUAAGCAAUAAGCCCCAAACCUAAUAAUCACCCCCACACGAUGAUCUGCUAGUGCAAAAAUAUAAAUGUUUCAGUCAAUUUACCAGAGCCGACCUAUCUGAGUCCAUAGUGUGGAGAGAUGCGAAUUUGCUGCUUUAGGGCCCCACUAUUCGCUUUAAAGAUUCAGCAAAUAUAACAAUUCCGAUCAGCAACAAAUGUAGAUUGAGGUCAAGGACGAAAUCGUCCAACUUUUCCUGCGCAACCUGAACCACUAAACCAAACACAUCAAAAUGUUCAGGAGAAUGAAAUAAACGAAAUGGUAGAAAAAAUCACGCUGCAGGGCCUCCCACUCGCCUCAUCGGACCGCCGCCGUCGCCACCACACACUACCUCACAGGGGGCCCCUCGACCUACUGGUUAUGGGUCCGAACUUCGUUUGUCCAAAAGAGAUCCAGUUUGGGAGUAAUUAAAGGAUUUAGGUUCGAUCAGUUUGAAAAUGGUGCCUUUCUCUCUCGAUUUUGGACUGUUUUGACAUAAAUUAAAGCCCUACGCUCUGAUACCAAAUGUAAGGAGAUGAUAUUGAUCACCAAAGAUAACCCAGGCUCAGUUUAUACCCACUUUCAACACCACAAAGUUGACAACUACGAACUCAAGACAAUACUAAGUUUACUUUCGGUUGCCAAUGAGAUAUAUCACUUAGGAGACCACAAAGGAACAAGAAAUCUCAUAAACUAUCACUACUAAGAUGAUAGAUAAAAAGAGACAGAGAAGAUGGAAGAAAAAAUCACGAGAAUUGGCUAAGAAUAGGAGGCGAUGACGAGUCUCUCAAAAUGAGAGAAAGAGACCAAUUUAUCUUUCAAUCAAGUAGCCCAAAUAAGGUAAGUAUAGGUAGGUUAAAAAAUGGGUCAAGUUAGAGGCCCAGGAGACAAUUAAAUGGGCUCACAAGAUAUUCUGUCAAUUAAUGGCCAUCCAAGGAAGUGUAUUGGGCCACGAGCAACACUAAAUUAUUUAGGUUGCUUCGAGUGGCCCAAUUAACCUUCGGGUCGUAUCGUCUCGAAUGUGGUGUUGGAUUCUCGUUCAGUCAUUUGGCUAGGCCAACCGAAAACUUAAACCAAGUAACAUCAUAGCGCGGAGGAGGUCGUUUAACAACAAAUUACCUAACACAUGAGCAUUUGUUUCAAGAAUCUAUCACCUAUAUAUGAAAUCGAACCAAAUUGCAACUAUUGUUUGUUUUGCAUGUUGAAAUGAUUAGUUUGCUUCCAUGUACGAAAAUUAUAAUGCGCGCACAUGUGUGUGUUUGUACACAUAUAUUAUUAGAUCCUGGUAUUUGAAAUCACUGCAAGAUAGUUUCUAUUUUUAAAUUUAUUGUCCAUUUUUAAAUUCCCAAGUGAUUUCAUGAGUAUAGCUCGAUGAAGUUGUAAUUUCUAGGCUUCUACUCGAGUUGUCAUUCUGGCUUUUAGUAGCAAGUUCUUUUGGACAAUGUCAAUAUUUAUAUUAAAAAUUACUCCUUUAUAUGGAUGACUACAUUGUUAGAGUAGGAAAGAAGACCUUGAAAAGAUGAGUGGGAAUAGGCUAUGAUGUGAUCCAGGAAACACAAGCGACAAAGUCAAGUCCAACGUCAAGCCCGGGGAAAGAUCCGUUGAUAGUCGAAGGUAGGCCAAUGACGCGAGUGAGGAUGAAGCGAGUGAAAGAGGCAAUGGGAUUGCUUGCCAAGGCGACCACUGAUGAAACCAUGUUCAGGAUUCAAAACGGGACAAGUUUCAUGUUGGGGACGAAGGCUAAAGAAGUUUGGAUUAAUGUAUUUCAAGUGACGAAAAAAGGGAGCUCAACCGAGAGCUAUGUGGCUGUCCAACCCAUGCGGUCACAACGAGGGUGGCAGGGACUUCGAGCCAGGUGAAAAGUUGUACUAUGCGACUGCAUAGAGGAAAACUUAGGCGGAUGUUCUAUUUUUGGCGAGAAGUUUAUUUUCAUUAAAACUCUUAUUAUUUGGUAACUUAAUAUUGCUAGGAGUUUAUAAUUUCAUUUUCAAUUAUUUUACUAGAGUUUUUUUCCUUUUAAAACUAGUUCCUAGGUUUAGUAUAAAUAUGAAUUUUUUUCUACAUUGUAGGAACUUUUUUGACAUUAUUAUUAUCGAGAUGCUUUUAUUGCUUUCUUCCUGUGUUCGUCAAUUGGACAAUCUGCAAACUUAUCAAGAUUUAAAUCUUGUGACGUUCAAAUCAACCGGGUGAGAUUCAAAUAUUUUUGUGUAAUCAAGAGGUCUGCACAUUGUCGGUGAUUCAGUUUGCUUGAUUUCAAAUUUAUUGAGUUUAAUCCAAAACCUUACUUUGACUUUCUUGGGUUGAUUUAUCGUGAGUUUGGUAGGGUUUGCCUACGCAGGUUCACAUCAAUUGGUAUCAGAGCUUAGACUCCAAUCUAAGGUUAUAUCUCUUUUAAAUUCUUGUUGAGUCAGUUAUCUUUUCUUUUCUUUUGUUUUUGUUUUCGGUGUUCUUCAAGUCAACCAUUAGUUUUGAGUCGUUGAUCAAAAAAAAUUUCAAAAGUUGUUUUUAGAUUCAAUUUGCAUCCAAAUCAACUUCCGUUUGUUGCGUUAGCAUCGUUGUUGAUUUUUCUAUCUCAAGAGAAAAAAAUUAUUGUUCAUUGUACGGCACUGUUCAUCCAUACAGAAAUAAAAAAAUCCAAAAAAAAAAAUCCGACUUUAAAAAAAAUUGUUAUUAUUGCUAUUGAUCUUGGGAAUUUACCGGCUUCAUUAGUCCAUUUUAUUAUUUGUGUCUAGUUUAAUUUUCCAGCCAAUUUAUUCUUCUAUUUUGUAUCCUUGAGUCAUUUUCUUUGUUUUGUCUAGUCUGAAUCGUUAACCAAGUUAUUCUAAAUUCUUCGGGCUUAUAAUCUAGCUCACACUGGUUUGGAUUCCACUGAUUAAAUUUUUGAUUGAGUUCCAAAUUGUUCUUUUGAGGCACUUGGUGAAAGCAACGAGUGGUAAAAGGCAGAGUGAUGAGAACAAUCGAGGGAAAAGCCAUAUUGAGUAAAUUCCGAGUAAAAUUUGUGAGGCAGAAAAAUAAAUUAGAUUUAGGAUGUCGAACAGGGAAGGAUCAAAUCCUGGUAGAAUUGAUGAUUAAAUUACUAUGCUAGAGGAAUCGAUACGAAGGAUUGAGAUGAUAUUUGGAGAUGUGAGGGAUCGAUUGAAUAUGCCGGAUGCACAAUUGGAAAGGGUAAAUCCAAUACCUACUAAUGUACGAAGGGAAUGUCCUAAUGCAUGGAGAUAAGGUAGACUGGAACUUAGGAUGGAGGAAUAUAGUGAUCUUGAUCUUGAAGUUGAUAGUGGGAUAGAUAAAGAUGCGAUUGUGGAUGCGGAGAUUGGAAGGGGAAGAAAUAGAGGUGUUAGGUAAGAAUUUUAAUGGAGACGGGGUGGGUGGAAAUUUGGGAAACAUUAAAAUGACCAUUCCUUCAUUCAAAGGGAUGAGUGAUCCGGAGGCAUAUUUGGAGUGGGAGGAGAAAAUUGCAUUAAUCUUCGAUUGUCACAAUUACUCGAGGGAGAAAAAGGUGAAAAUUGCAGUCCUUAAGUUCACCAAUUAUGCAAUUACUAGGUCGGGUCAAGUAGUGACUACGAGGCGGAGAAGUGGGGAACACCCUAUCAACACAUGGGAGGAAUUGAAAACUAUAUUGCGGAAGAGAUUUGUACCUAAUCACUACUACCGUGAGCUUUAUCAAAAAUUGCAAAAUUUAUAUCAAGACUCUAGAAGUGUAGAAGAUUACUAUAAGGAGAUGGAAAUGCUAAUGAUUAGGGAAAAUGUGGAGGAGAAUAGGGAAGCCACUAUGGCUCGAUUUUUGAGUGGGUUGAAUAGAGACAUUGCAAAUAUAGUGGAAUUACAACAUUAUGUGGAAAUUGAAGACAUGUUACAUGUAGCCAUGAAGGUAGAGAGGCAGUAAGCGAAAGGGGACAAUGAGGUACCAAUCUGGAUCUUCAGGUUCUAAUCCUUCUUGGAAAUCGAAGUGGAAAAAUAAAAAAUGAGAUGGACCUCUUGCAAGAGGGAGGGUCGAGGUACCAAGAAGCAAGGAAAAGAGUGCUAGCAAGGCCAUACCAAAGGGGGAGUCACAGCCAUGAAGAAACAGGGACAUCAAAUGUUUUUGUUGCUUGGGAACGAGGUACAUUACUUCUCAAUGUCCAAACAAGAAACAAUGAUUCUGCGGGAUAGCGGGGAAGUAUAAACUGAAAGUGAAAGUGACUAUGCAGACAUGCCAGAAUUGGAGGAUGCUGCUAAAGAAGACACCAUUGAGUAUGUGGUUGGGGGUAAGCUAUUGGUCGCAAGGCGAGGUCUCAGCGCUCAAAUCAAGGCGGAUGACUUGGAGCAACAGUGAGAAAACAUAUUCUACAUGCGAUGGCACGUCAAUGACAAGGUAUGUAGUGUAAUAAUUGAUGGUGGAAGUUGUACUAACGUGGCUAGCACUAAUAUAGUGGAAAAUUGAGUUUAACAUUAUUAAAGCAUCAUCGGCCCUAUAGAUUACACUGGUUAAAUGAAUGUGGGGAAAUUAAAGUGACAAAAAGGGUGUUAAUUAAUUUUUCCAUUGAUAAAUAUCAAGAUGAGGUGAUGUGUGACGUUGUAUCUAUACAUGCGGGGCAUAUCUUGUUAGGAAGACCAUGGCAAUACGAUAGGAAGGCAAUGCAUAAUGGGUAUAAGAAUAAGUAUAGUUUUGUGAAAGAUGAAAGGUCUGUCACUCUUGUGCCAUUAACACCGGUACAAGUAGAUGAAGACCAAAUUUAACUUAAAAAUGAAGAAGAAUCGAGAGUAAGAGAGUUAGAGAAAAAGAGAGAAAAUAGUGAGGUGGCUAAUAAAAAUAAAAAGAUAGUGGGGCCACAUGAGAUAAAAGAAAGAGAGUCUUCCGUAAGGAGAGAAAAGUCGAAACAAAAUUUCUUUACGAGAGAGAGUGAAUUGAAAAAUGGAAUAACGGAGAGACAACAAAUGAUACUAUUGGUUUAUAAGAAGUCACUCUCAACUUUGAAGAGCCUCACACAUCCCUCCCUAAUUUGACUAUUUUUUGUUGCAGGAAUUUGAACAUGUAUUUUCGGAGGAUGUGCCGAGUGGGUUACCACCCAUUAGGAAAAUUGAGCACCAAAUUGAUUUCAUACAUGGAGUUGUCAUUCUUAAUCGACCAACUUAUUGGAGUAAUCCAGAGGAGACAAAGAAGUUUCAAAAACAAGUGGAGAAAUUGAUGAGCAAGGGUUAUGUGAGGGAAAGCACGAGUCCAUGUGCCGUACUUGUACUGCUGGUGCCAAAGAAAGAUGAAACUUGGAGAAUGUGCGUGAAUUGCAGAGCCAUCAACAACAUCACGAUAAAGUAUUAUCAUCCAAUUUCUAGGCUAGAUGGCAUGUUAGAUGAACUACAUGGUGCAUGCAUAUUUAGCAAAAUUGAUUUUAAGAGUGGGUAUCAUCAAAUUAGCAUGAGGGAGGGUGAUGAAUGGAAAAUUGCUUUUAAAACUAAAUGCGGUUUGUAUGAAUGGUUAGUCAUGCCGUUUAGGCUUACAAAUGCACCAAGCACUUCUAUGCGACCAAUGAAUAAUGUUUUGCGUGCUUUUAUUGAAAAAUUUGUUGUAAUUUAUUUUGAUGACAUUUUAAACUAUAGCAAGAAUCUUGAUGAACAUGUAGAACAUUUGAGGUAUAUGCUUGUGGUUUUGAGGAAAGAAUAGCUUUAUGCUAAUUUUAAAAAGUGCAUAUUUUGAAUGGAUAGGAUUGUAUUUCUAGGCUUUAUAGUUAGUGCUAAUGGUGUAGAAGUAGAUGAAGAGAAAAUAAAGGCUAUUAAAGAUUUGCCAACACCUAAAAAUAUAACUGAAGUUAGAGGUUUUCAUAGAUUGACUAGUUUUUACAAGCGUUUUGUUAGAGACUUUAGCACAAUUACCACGCCACUAACUGAAAUUGUCAAGAAAAAUGUGGGGUUUCAAUGGAGGGUAGAACAAGAACAUGCAUUCAACACUAUCAAAAAUUGUUUGUGUAAAGCACCAGUUUUAGCACUCCUAACUUUGACAAAACUUUGGAGAUUGACUGUGAUGCAUCAGGAAUAGGUAUUAGAGCAGUCUUAAUGCAGGAUAAGAGAUCGAUAGCUUACUUUAUUGAAAAGUUAAGUAGUGCAGCUCUCAACUAUCCUACAUAUGAUAAGGAGCUAUAUUCAGUUGUUCGAGCCUUUCAGACAUGGCAGCAUUACAUAUGGUCAAAGGAGUUUGUAAUUCACAUCGACCAUGAAUCGUCGAAGCAUUUGCGGGGUCAAGGUAAGUUGAACAAAUGCACACUGGAUGGAAUUCAUAGAAACUUUUCCAUAUGUCAUCCGUUUCAAACAAGGUAAGGAACAUGUAGUAGCAGAUGCAAUGUCGCGAAGGUACGUGCUUCUAACUACUUUAAGUACGAAAUUACUUGGCUUUGAGUACAUUAAGGGUAUGUAUGAUAAUGAUCUUGAUUUUUUCAACAUUUACAAUUCAUGUCAUAAGGGAGCUGUAGAUAAAUUAUUUAAGUAUGAGGGAUACUUGUUUAGGGAAAACAAAUUAUGUGUUUCUAAUUGCUUUAUGCGUGAGUUGUUGGUUAGAGAAGCACAUAUUGGGGGACUACUGGGUCACUUUGGGGAUAGCAAAGACCUUAGAAAUAUUAACUAAACAUUUUUAUUGGCCUAAAAUGAAAGUUGAUUUGGAACGGAUUUGCAAUCGAUGUAUAACUUGUAAAAAUGCUAAAUCUAUGGUCUUACCUCAUGGACUUUACACACCUUUGCCAAUGCGUAGUAAACCUUGGGUAGACAUUUCCAUGAAUUUUGUGUUAGGUUUGCCUAGGACUAAAAAGAGAUGGGAUUCGAUUUUUGUAGUGGUGGAUGUGUUUAGUAAAAUGGCACAUUUCAUUCCAUGUCACAAAACCGAUGAUGCCACUAACAUUGCAAACUUGUUUUUUUAAAGAAAUUGUGCACUUGCAUGGAGUACCUAAAAGUAUUGUGUCAGAUAGGGAUGUUAAAUUUCUUAGUCACAUUUGAAAGGUCUUGUGGAAUAAGUUAGGCAUGAAAUUACUAUUUUCUACAACUUGUCACCUAUAAACCGAAGUAGUGAAUAGGACCAUAACACAACUAUUGCGCACUGUGGUUAAUAAGAAGUUGAAAAAUUGGGAAGAAUAUUUACCUUUCAUAGAGUUUGCAUAUAAUGGGGCCACACACUCCACUACGUCGUUUUCUCCAUUUGAGAUUUUUUAUGGUUUUAAUCCAAUAACACCUAUAGAUUUAAUAUCUUUGUCUGUGAAUGAACGAGGUAGCUUGGAUGGGAAGCAAAAGGCCGAGUUGGUGAAAUCACUCCAUGAAAAGGUAUGGGAGCAAAUUGAGAAGAAGAGCAAGCAUUAUGCCGAGCAAGUAAAUAAGGGUAGGAAGAUUGUUACCUUCGAACCAGAAGAUUGGGUUUGGGUACAUUUCAGAAAAGAGUGAUUUCCAGAGCAAAAGAAAUCAAAAUUGUUACCACAGGGAGAUGGACCGUUUCAAAUACUUAAGAAGAUCAAUGACAACGCAUACAAAUUAGAUCUUCCAGGUAAGUAUAGCAUUUCAACAACUUUUAAUGGGUCUGAUCUUUCUCUCUUUGAUGCGGGUUCGGAUUCGAGGACGAAUCCUUUCAAAGAGGGAAGGGAUGAAGUGAUCUAGGAGACACAAGCGACAAAGUCAAUUCCAACGUCAAGCCCGUGGAAAGAUAUGUUGAUAGUCGAAGGUGGGGUAAUGACGCGAGUGAGGAUGAAGCGAGUGAAAGAGGCAAUGGGAUUGCUUGCCAGGGCGACCGCUGAUGAAACCAUGUUCAGGACUCAAAAACGGGACAAGGUUCAUGUUGGGGAUGAAGGCAGAAGAAGUUUGGAUCAAUGUAUUUCAAAUGACGGAAAAAUGGAUCUCAACCGAGAGCUAUGCGGCUCUCCAACCCAUGCGGUCGCAACGAGGGUGGCAGGGACUUCAAGCCAGGUGAAAAUCUGUACUAUGCGACCGCAUAGAUUAACUCUAUGUGGCCGCAUAGAGGAAAACUUGGGUGGAUGUUCUAUUUUUGGCGAGAAGUUUGUUUCCACUAAAACUCUUAUUAUUUUGGUAACUUAAUAUUGUUAGGAGUUAAUAAUUCCAUUUUCAAUUAUUUUACUAGAGUUUUAUUCUUUUUAAAACUAGUUCCUAGGUUUAGUAUAAAUAGGAUUUUUUUCUACAUUGUAAAAACUUUUUUGACAUUAUUAUUAAUGAGAGACUUUCAUUGCUUUCUUUUUGUCUUCUUCAAUUGGACAAUAUACGAACUUAUCAAGAUUUAAAUCUUGUGACGUUCAAAUCAAUUGGGUGAGAUUUACAUAUUUUUGCGUAAUCAAGAUGUCCGCACAUCGUCGGUGAUUCAAGUUGCUUGGUUCCAAAUUUAUUGAGUUUAAUCCAAAACCUUGCUUUGACUUUCUUGAAUCGAUUUUCAAUCUUGAUUGUGGGUUUGGUAGCGUUUGCUUACAUGAGUUCAUAUUAGGCUAGCUAAACGUUGAUCUAAUAAGAGAGUCUCAACCUUGUUAAUAAGCUCGAGAUCAAGCCUCUCUUAUUGAAUCGAGGCCGAGCCCUAUUAGUCCAAGGUUAAGCACAUCUCAUAAGCUUGAGUUCGUACUUAUCUUAUUAGCUUGAAGUUGAAUAUAUACCACUAGAUUGAGAUCAAUCCUAUCUCACUAGAUUGAGAUCAAUCCUAUCUCACUAGUUCAAGUCUAUCUAUCCAUGCUAGUUGAAAUCAUACAUUGUUAUGUAGAACUUUUUAUAGUAUCUAUUUAUAUAUGUAUUGAUUUAUGAUGAAUGCCACGCUCCACAGUUCCGAAUUUAGAGAUGGGCGAGGCUAUGCUAGACCCCAUCCCUCUAGCCCAAAUGCUAAUUAAAAAGAAAGAUUUAAGUUAAAAAAAAAAAAUUAUGUGUGAUUUAUUUUUAUUUUUUACUUUAUUAUUAUUAUUAUUAUCGUUUUUCGUGUCAGCUCGUCCCAAAAAUUAUCCUGGCUCUGCCACUGACGCUCCAUAAGGAUUGCUCUCAAAGAGAGGUCAACCCAAAUGCUUAGUAAUUUCCUUCGUGUGUUCUAAAGCCUUUUUGGAAGACACUCGAUAUGGGUCGAGGUGUCGAUGCUCCAUGAACAAUACCAAACAAUUAAGAGCAGUGAUAAAUAAUUAUUUCUUUCAAUCCCACUAACUAACAUUUACACUAAUUAAUAAGCUGAUUAAUUUAAUUAACUUUUUUUCUCCUUAAAUUGUUCUUUUUGUUUUUAAAAAUAAUAACCGCCUAUUAAGAUUCUAAAAGGUCACAUCAUGACGUCACCGAAAUUAUCAUUAGUUAAGAGACAAUAAGAUAUUGAGUCAUUAAAGGUAAUUAACUUUUAAUCGACUAAUUAAUUAAAUAAAUCACUCACUUUCUUACACGAUUAAAGUGUAGAGUUACUGUCUGCCCUCGAAAGUGGAAGGCAAAGGAAUUGUGGUUGAGUUCGUGGGUUGACCGGAAGAGGUGGGCAAACUAAUUCCACGGGAGGCGUCUAUAAUCGUUUUUUUUUUUUUCCUUAUUAAUAAUUAAAGAUAAAAUCUUUAACAUCGUCUAAAUACAAAAAUAAUAAUUAAUAUGUCCAAGGAUUAGUUUUAAGUGUAACAAACUGAUCAAGCUGUUCACAUGCUCCGUUCAUCCUGGUUUGAACCAUGGACGAUUCAAACUCGUUGAGACGAGUCAUCGACCGAGCAGGACACUCUUUUUUGGAUUUAUUUACUAAUUUCUUAUAAAAAUAAACCGACUUAUGGAUGGUUCCACUCGACCUAACAAGCCCACGAGCCAAGCUUGGGCUACCAACCUAGACUGGAUCAAGUGGUAAAAACGAAGUCACAUCACAUCAUAUCAUUGACCUUCAUUCAAAAAAAAAAAGGUUGAACCCCAAUCUUGAGGGUCUCCCACCGCCCCUGCCCUGGAGUAUCGUGAGGGAAGUAAAUCGCAGG